GCCGAGGUGGCGAAACCGGCAAACGCGGGAGACUUAAAAUCUCCUAGUCGCAAGACUAUGCGGGUUCAAGUCCCGCCCUCGGUACCA
RNAcentral lists this transfer RNA (87 nucleotides) under bacterium. Its description in RNAcentral is "tRNA-Leu". It matches the Rfam family "tRNA". From Rfam's summary of the family: Transfer RNA (tRNA) molecules are approximately 80 nucleotides in length. Their secondary structure includes four short double-helical elements and three loops (D, anti-codon, and T loops). The record is from RNAcentral.